This is a non-coding RNA of Salmo salar (Atlantic salmon), 126 nucleotides long. The record is from Rfam. Lineage: Eukaryota; Metazoa; Chordata; Actinopteri; Salmoniformes; Salmonidae.
UGCAGCCUUGUCUCAUUCAGUUCUUCCUCUAAAAUGGACCGCACUGGCCAAAAUGGCUGCCACAGUUCAUGGGCCCCAUGUAACUUUUCCAUGGAUGUUGGGGAUAAAUUUGUACUACUGACAAUU